Molecule: ribosomal RNA, 1532 nt
Filed under: Salmonella enterica subsp. enterica
Lineage: Bacteria; Pseudomonadati; Pseudomonadota; Gammaproteobacteria; Enterobacterales; Enterobacteriaceae
Description: bacterial SSU rRNA
Rfam family: Bacterial small subunit ribosomal RNA
Source: RNAcentral
AGAGUUUGAUCAUGGCUCAGAUUGAACGCUGGCGGCAGGCCUAACACAUGCAAGUCGAACGGUAACAGGAAGCAGCUUGCUGCUUCGCUGACGAGUGGCGGACGGGUGAGUAAUGUCUGGGAAACUGCCUGAUGGAGGGGGGAUAACUACUGGAAACGGUGGCUAAUACCGCAUAACGUCGCAAGACCAAAGAGGGGGACCUUCGGGCCUCUUGCCAUCAGAUGUGCCCAGAUGGGAUUAGCUGGUUGGUGAGGUAACGGCUCACCAAGGCGACGAUCCCUAGCUGGUCUGAGAGGAUGACCAGCCACACUGGAACUGAGACACGGUCCAGACUCCUACGGGAGGCAGCAGUGGGGAAUAUUGCACAAUGGGCGCAAGCCUGAUGCAGCCAUGCCGCGUGUAUGAAGAAGGCCUUCGGGUUGUAAAGUACUUUCAGCGGGGAGGAAGGUGUUGUGGUUAAUAACCACAGCAAUUGACGUUACCCGCAGAAGAAGCACCGGCUAACUCCGUGCCAGCAGCCGCGGUAAUACGGAGGGUGCAAGCGUUAAUCGGAAUUACUGGGCGUAAAGCGCACGCAGGCGGUCUGUCAAGUCGGAUGUGAAAUCCCCGGGCUCAACCUGGGAACUGCAUUCGAAACUGGCAGGCUUGAGUCUUGUAGAGGGGGGUAGAAUUCCAGGUGUAGCGGUGAAAUGCGUAGAGAUCUGGAGGAAUACCGGUGGCGAAGGCGGCCCCCUGGACAAAGACUGACGCUCAGGUGCGAAAGCGUGGGGAGCAAACAGGAUUAGAUACCCUGGUAGUCCACGCCGUAAACGAUGUCUACUUGGAGGUUGUGCCCUUGAGGCGUGGCUUCCGGAGCUAACGCGUUAAGUAGACCGCCUGGGGGAGUACGGCCGCAAGGUUAAAACUCAAAUGAAUUGACGGGGGCCCGCACAAGCGGUGGAGCAUGUGGUUUAAUUCGAUGCAACGCGAAGAACCUUACCUGGUCUUGACAUCCACAGAACUUUCCAGAGAUGGACUGGUGCCUUCGGGAACUGUGAGACAGGUGCUGCAUGGCUGUCGUCAGCUCGUGUUGUGAAAUGUUGGGUUAAGUCCCGCAACGAGCGCAACCCUUAUCCUUUGUUGCCAGCGGUUAGGCCGGGAACUCAAAGGAGACUGCCAGUGAUAAACUGGAGGAAGGUGGGGAUGACGUCAAGUCAUCAUGGCCCUUACGACCAGGGCUACACACGUGCUACAAUGGCGCAUACAAAGAGAAGCGACCUCGCGAGAGCAAGCGGACCUCAUAAAGUGCGUCGUAGUCCGGAUUGGAGUCUGCAACUCGACUCCAUGAAGUCGGAAUCGCUAGUAAUCGUGGAUCAGAAUGCCACGGUGAAUACGUUCCCGGGCCUUGUACACACCGCCCGUCACACCAUGGGAGUGGGUUGCAAAAGAAGUAGGUAGCUUAACCUUCGGGAGGGCGCUUACCACUUUGUGAUUCAUGACUGGGGUGAAGUCGUAACAAGGUAACCGUAGGGGAACCUGCGGUUGGAUCACCU